RNAcentral lists this ribosomal RNA (384 nucleotides) under Triticum aestivum (bread wheat). RNAcentral's name for it is "partial small subunit ribosomal RNA". Lineage: Eukaryota; Viridiplantae; Streptophyta; Magnoliopsida; Poales; Poaceae. The record is from RNAcentral.
CAGGGCAAGGCUAGUGUUGAGAACACAAGGUCUUGUCGUUGCGAGUGCCCUGCUCUAAUAAGGCUGCUACGGGCAGAGAACAACAGAUGGUACAUUGCAGAGCAUAGAGAUACUCACAACCACUCGCUGUCAACUAAUUUCGGUGAGACAAUCCACUGGCCCUCACACAAGCACAUAGAUGUGUACACGAGAGAUCUUGUGAAACAGUUAAUGUAGAACAAUGUGAACUUAGCAAAGGUGUACAGUAUCAUCGAGGGUUUCUUUGGCUCAAUGGAAAAUGUUCUGCUCACGAAGAGGUCGUUGCGUAAUAUAUGUCGGAAGAUAAACAAACACCAUGCAGAAGAUGGUGUGAAGAAGACAAUGGAUGUGUGUGCGGAGAGCUAA